GAGCUUUGAAGGCUCUGACGAACCCUU
Molecule: non-coding RNA, 27 nt
Filed under: Mus musculus (house mouse)
Lineage: Eukaryota; Metazoa; Chordata; Mammalia; Rodentia; Muridae
Source: RNAcentral